This is a long non-coding RNA of Drosophila ananassae, 1968 nucleotides long. RefSeq lists it as uncharacterized. The record is from RefSeq and is a predicted model, not a curated record. NCBI's taxonomy places the organism in Eukaryota, Metazoa, Arthropoda, Insecta, Diptera, Drosophilidae. The transcript is spliced from 2 exons.
UCAGAUCUUCUUCUAACGCCGCACUGCCUCAGCUGACUCGCUGUUGCUGUCGCUGCUGCCCCAACUGGCGACGCGUCGCUGCCGGCGUCGAUGUCGACUCUAAAUAUUUGAAAAUAAAUAACAAUGAAAUAGCAGGAAAGUUUUAAAAUGGCAAAGGAUGACAAUACGCCAAUAAGUAUGCUAUAUUUUUUCAGUGAAUAAAAGCAAACAUCCAUUUUUAUUUUUAAUUUCUAAUAUAAUGGUUUUAAUAAAUUUUUUCUUAAAUAUUUUUUAAAAAUACUCAUUUUUAACAUGAUAUAAAAUUCUCCAACAAACCUUAGCCACAGACUUUUGACCGUCAGUAUGGGCUCUGUCAAGCUGUUACGGUUACCUGCUUCUCUUGAUUUCCGUUCUAGUGACAUUACUCUCCGAUCCGAUCCCCACCACGCCCCCCAAACUCCUUUCAGUUUCUUCCUCCGCCCGCACACUGCCACAAAUUGUUUACAUGCGACAAACUUGUCAUCUUUUUUUCGUGUACAUCUUGGAAGAUAACAAAAAACUAAAGAAAAAAAAUCAUAAAGGUUAGCGACUCUGUCUUUGGCCUGUGGCUUUCCUGUUGUUGGGCUAGGCCACGGGCUCAGGUAACAUAAAACCCAAAACAAGCAAAAACAAAAAAAAAAUUUUAGAACACCUGGAAGUGGUUGAAAAUAUUUUUAAAUAAAUGGUUAAAUUUUAAUACUUUGUGCUCCACUGUCCAAGUGUCAGAGUUUGCAUACACUUCGUGUACAUCUCCCAGACACUUGUUCGUAUCUGGGCGGCUAAUCAUUUUCAAAUACCAUAAAAGCUGAUUUCACAGGGCCAAGAGAGAAGCGGUAGCUGCUACCAAAAGCUUAGAGCCAAGUCAAGAGUGAUCAAAAAAUCUUGGCAAUAUGUCGUGCUAAUCUUGUGCUGCUGGUUUCUAAGAGAUAACUUUAUUCUGAAAGACCCCUCUGUCCUAUAUUUGAUCUUGGGAGUUGGUUUGUCUUUGAUGGGCUUAAAAUUUUUAAAUUUAAUAAUUAGAAGUUAAUUUUUUUAAGAAUCAAAAUAAAAUAAUAUUAAGCUUGUUGGCAUCCCACUGUUUAUUUUAAUGCUUAUUCAUAUAUUAUGAUAUAUUUAUAUUUUGUUUGCUUGUUUAUAUUCACGUAGCCCACAUCCUCCUUAGGAUUUUUAAUAUUUACUAAAUAUAUCUUGUUGUCAGGUGGUUGGUUCCUGUUUGUCUAAAUUUUUUAGAUUUUUGUAAACAAUUACUAAGCUUGUCAUGCCAAAAAACUUUAAUUUGAAACUCCAAACUUUUAUAGCUUCCCUCUUCGAAUAAAAUCCCUUAAUUUUUUACAAGAUCAUAUCGUUUUGUAGGGCAGCUCUAUGAAAUAUAUGGCUUAAGAUCUUUGCUCGAAUAUGGGCUAAUCGUUGUCUUAUUAUUGUAAUAUCUACUUUCCAAGAUGAUGCUUCAGCUGUUUGGCGCUUUUUUUGUUUGUUUAUAAACCUCAAAGUUUUAUUUUUUUCCAGCAUCUCGAAGAUUUCGGCAGCAUUUUGUGAUUGUUCCUUAAUUGUUGAGGGCGGGGAAGAUGUUUUGGUUUAUGGUUUAUGAUACCAGUGGGCUGGGAUGGAAAGAAAGGCCCCUCGUACCAGUGGGGCAGUGGGGCGAGUUGUCAGUCUAAAGUUCACAAGUUGUCAAAAUGUUUGCGCUUAAGUCUCAGACAUGGAGCAUUUAGUGGCCCGGACUUAUCAGACUGUGUUAACACAUUUUACCAACUUUGACGUGCAGUUGGAGAUGUAUUUUUUUCAGCUUUUGACGGGUCUGAUUCAACAAAUAAACAAAAUGCGAAAACCACACUGCGGAAAACAAAGUAGAGGGCCUAAUUUAGAUUUCUUUAAGUUCGAAUUAUAUGGUACUAAGCUGCUAUAGGUUUUUUUACAGUGCCUAUGUCUACUAAAAGAAAAUAGACACUG